This 292-nucleotide ribosomal RNA is filed under the name uncultured bacterium. Its description in RNAcentral is "partial 16S ribosomal RNA". The record is from RNAcentral.
GGACUACCGGGGUUUCUAAUCCUGUUUGCUCCCCUUGCUCUCGCGCCUCAGCGUCAGGGCUAAGCUAGAAAACCGCUUUCGCCACAGGUGUUCUUCCACAUAUCUACGCAUUUCACCGCUACACGUGGAAUUCCGUUUUCUCCGCCUUCCCUCUAGAUUCGUAGUUUCAAAUGCAGCUCCGAAGUUGAGCUCCGGAAUUUCACAUCUGACUUACCAAUCCGCCUACGCGCCCUUUACGCCCAAUAAAUCCGAUUAAUGCUUGCACCCUCCGUAUUACCGCGGCUGCUGGCAC